Lytechinus pictus (painted urchin) is the source of this 235-nucleotide long non-coding RNA. RefSeq lists it as uncharacterized. The transcript has 3 exons. NCBI's taxonomy places the organism in Eukaryota, Metazoa, Echinodermata, Echinoidea, Temnopleuroida, Toxopneustidae. The record is from RefSeq and is a predicted model, not a curated record.
UUGUCAGAAUCAACUUCCACCCAGGACGACACGACAACAACUACUACUACACUCUCCACCAAUGCCGCUGACUUUGAAUCAACUUCCACCCAAGACGACACGACAACAACAACUGAUUCUACUACUACACUCUCUACCACUGCCGCCAACUCUGAAUUAACUUCCACCCAACAUGCCCAAGACGACACGACAACAACAACGGAUUCUACUACUACACUCUCUACGACUGCCGCCA